RNAcentral lists this transfer RNA (88 nucleotides) under Streptomyces durbertensis. RNAcentral describes it as "tRNA-Glu". It matches the Rfam family "tRNA". From Rfam's summary of the family: Transfer RNA (tRNA) molecules are approximately 80 nucleotides in length. Their secondary structure includes four short double-helical elements and three loops (D, anti-codon, and T loops). Lineage: Bacteria; Bacillati; Actinomycetota; Actinomycetes; Kitasatosporales; Streptomycetaceae. The record is from RNAcentral.
GGAGAGAUUCCCGUAGUGGCCUAACGGGGCCCGGAGUUCUUCCGGUCGGGGCUUGCGCCCCUCGCAGGUUCGAAUCCUGCUCUCUCCG